Molecule: ribosomal RNA, 497 nt
Filed under: uncultured bacterium
Lineage: Bacteria
Description: partial 16S ribosomal RNA
Rfam family: Bacterial small subunit ribosomal RNA
Source: RNAcentral
GAUGAACGCUGGCGGCGUGCCUAAUACAUGCAAGUCGAGCGAACAGACGAGGAGCUUGCUCCUCUGACGUUAGCGGCGGACGGGUGAGUAACACGUGGAUAACCUACCUAUAAGACUGGGAUAACUUCGGGAAACCGGAGCUAAUACCGGAUAACAUGUUGAACCGCAUGGUUCAACAGUGAAAGACGGUCUUGCUGUCACUUAUAGAUGGAUCCGCGCCGCAUUAGCUAGUUGGUAAGGUAACGGCUUACCAAGGCAACGAUGCGUAGCCGACCUGAGAGGGUGAGCGGCCACACUGGAACUGAGACACGGUCCGGACUCCUCUGGGAGGCGGCAGUAGGGAAUCUUCCGCAAUGGGCGAAGGCCUGACGGCGCACCGCCGCGUCAGUGAAGAAGGUCUUCGGAUCGUAAAACUCUGUUAUUAGGGAAGAACAAAUGUGUAAGUAACUAUGCACGUCUUGACGGUACCUAAUCAGAAAGCCACGCCUAACUACGUG